This 169-nucleotide ribosomal RNA is filed under the name Klebsiella pneumoniae. Its description in RNAcentral is "partial 16S ribosomal RNA". It matches the Rfam family "Bacterial small subunit ribosomal RNA", at positions 1 to 161 of the family's 1533-position model. Lineage: Bacteria; Pseudomonadati; Pseudomonadota; Gammaproteobacteria; Enterobacterales; Enterobacteriaceae. The record is from RNAcentral.
ACUUAAAUUGAAGAGUUUGAUCAUGGCUCAGAUUGAACGCUGGCGGCAGGCCUAACACAUGCAAGUCGAGCGGUAGCACAGAGAGCUUGCUCUCGGGUGACGAGCGGCGGACGGGUGAGUAAUGUCUGGGAAACUGCCUGAUGGAGGGGGAUAACUACUGGAAACGGUA